GCUGGCUAUACAUUCAAUGCAUGUUUCUACUAUAAAGGGCUGUAGUGGUUAUGGUGCUUGGAAUAGCCUUAAAGUGUCAGUAUGUCAGUAGCCUUAAAGUGUAUGUUGGUUUGGUACAAGGAAAUGCCCUCUGUUAAGGUCAGUGCAAGGGAAUUUAAUGACACAUUUGUUCUAAAUCUGCUGGUGGGGUUGCUUGUGUGUAGAGAAGUGCUUGAG
Non-coding RNA from Pelobates cultripes (western spadefoot toad), 216 nucleotides. The record is from the annotation of a GenBank genome assembly. Lineage: Eukaryota; Metazoa; Chordata; Amphibia; Anura; Pelobatidae.